Oncorhynchus keta (chum salmon) is the source of this 462-nucleotide long non-coding RNA. RefSeq lists it as uncharacterized. The record is from RefSeq and is a predicted model, not a curated record. The transcript is spliced from 4 exons. Lineage: Eukaryota; Metazoa; Chordata; Actinopteri; Salmoniformes; Salmonidae.
UCAGCAGAACUAACAGGAGACGAUGUGGUAAGGUAUUCAGCAGAACUAACAGGAGACUAUGUGGUAAGGUACUCAGCAGAACUAACAGGAGACUAUGUGGUAAGGUAUUCAGCAGAACUAACAGGAGACUAUGUGGUAAGGUAUUCAGCAGAACUAACAGGAGACGAUGUGGUAAGGUAUUCAGCAGAACUAACAGGAGACUAUGUGGUAAGGUACUCAGCAGAACUAACAGGAGACUAUGUGGUAAGGUACUCAGCAGAACUAACAGGAGACGAUGUGGUAAGGUACUCAGCAGAACUAACAGGAGACUAUGUGGUAAGGUAUUCAGCAGAACCAACAGGAGACUAUGUGGUAAGGUAUUAAUUCAGCAGUUCUACAGAUCUGUAUUGUUAUAUACUGCUGCUCUUUGUUUUUCUUACCUCAUACUUAAAAAAAAAAGAUAUUUUCUUAAAACUGCUUUGU